GGAGCUUGACUUAAUUACAUUUCUCUGUUGAGAUCAGAAAUUUGUCUCUGCUUGUUUUGUUUGUUUGUUUUUCUCAAUUUUAACAUGCCUUACAUUGUCACUUCCAGAAAAGCAUUUUGCACACGUCAAACUGACAGCAAGAGGAAGAAUUUGUGCCACAUAAUACUGCUUCAAAAUAUUAGCUGGAUGUCUUUAUCCUCCAUUCUGGCUUUGCAAUUAGUGUCAAAUCUGCGAAUUAUUUCUGAAUGUUUCUAAUUUGAAGCUUUUUUCUUCUUUUUUUCAGUAAGCGUUGGGAACUUCCUGCUUCACUAACCAUCACUAACAAUCUACAAGAACCAACGAAAGUGACCAUCCACAGGAGUAGGAAGUGUGAGCGUCAAGAUGAAUCAGCCAGGUCCAUAUGGGUGAGAAGAGCCGCAGUAAUAGAAGUGUUCAGGAUUGUCGUGGAUCUGGAGUCUAUUCCUUGAAUAUUGGCUGUGAGGUGGGAAUGCAACCUGGAUGGGAUGCCAGUCCAUUGCUAGGAGCGAGCCAGAGGCGACUGUGGCGAGGAAAAACUCCCUGAGACGAUAUGAGGAAGAAACCUUGAGAGGAACCAGACUCAAAAACGAAGUCAUCCUCAUCUGGGUGAGACUGGAUAGUGCGAUUAUAAAUAAAUAAAUCCCUUCUAUAACUGUGUGAAAACUGAAAAAGAAUGAAAACUUUCAUUUUGUUGGAGUUAUCAACUGUUCGCUGAUGGAGACUUG
This is a long non-coding RNA of Ictalurus punctatus (channel catfish), 743 nucleotides long. The record is from Ensembl. NCBI's taxonomy places the organism in Eukaryota, Metazoa, Chordata, Actinopteri, Siluriformes, Ictaluridae.